RNAcentral lists this ribosomal RNA (629 nucleotides) under uncultured bacterium. Its description in RNAcentral is "bacterial SSU rRNA". The stretch from base 1 to 542 matches the Rfam family "Bacterial small subunit ribosomal RNA", at positions 338 to 873 of the family's 1533-position model. The record is from RNAcentral.
CCUACGGGAGGCAGCAGUGGGGAAUUUUGGACAAUGGACGCAAGUCUGAUCCAGCCAUUCCGCGUGCAGGACGAAGGCCUUCGGGUUGUAAACUGCUUUUGUACGGAACGAAAAAGCUCUUAUUAAUACUAGGAGUCCAUGACGGUACCGUAAGAAUAAGCACCGGCUAACUACGUGCCAGCAGCCGCGGUAAUACGUAGGGUGCAAGCGUUAAUCGGAAUUACUGGGCGUAAAGCGUGCGCAGGCGGUUAUAUAAGACAGAUGUGAAAUCCCCGAGCUUAACUUGGGAACUGCAUUUGUGACUGUAUAGCUAGAGUACGGCAGAGGGGGAUGGAAUUCCGCGUGUAGCAGUGAAAUGCGUAGACAUGCGGAGGAACACCGAUGGCGAAGGCAAUCCCCUGGGCCUGUACUGACGCUCAUGCACGAAAGCGUGGGGAGCAAACAGGAUUAGAUACCCUGGUAGUCCACGCCCUAAACGAUGUCAACUGGUUGUUGGGUCUUCACUGACUCAGUAACGAAGCUAACGCGUGAAGUUGACCGCCUGGGGGAGGUACGGCCGCGAGGUAGAACGUACAAAGAGAGUUAGACGGCGUGAGACGUAGCCGACGGACGACGACGAGGGGAGGAGG